Ornithodoros turicata is the source of this 721-nucleotide long non-coding RNA. RefSeq lists it as uncharacterized. The transcript has 4 exons. NCBI's taxonomy places the organism in Eukaryota, Metazoa, Arthropoda, Arachnida, Ixodida, Argasidae. The record is from RefSeq and is a predicted model, not a curated record.
GCGUUUGAGCUCUGCGGCGUGCGUCUCUCUCUGCUUGUCGUGCAGAGACUUGUUAACGGUCUGUUGGACCACUGAAUAAUAUUUUCUUCCAACAAUAACGUUUUUCAGCAUGCUGAGGUGUAAUGAAUGCGACGACUGCAAGUCAUAUAGCUGCAUGUCCUACCACUAUCUACUCAAGAAUAGUCUGACUUUAAUGGCACGCACUGCAGAUGACGAAGGUGAUAAUUUCCCCUGAAAGGCCAGCGUAGCUUGGCAUGACAUUCAAGUGACAAACUUUGAAGGUGGUGUGAAGGAGGUCCGCUGCGCUGGUAAGUUUCAGUGGGUACUGCUGUUCUGUAUUAAUAUUUCAUUCAUAUGUAUCCCGUCGAUGAUAAGUGGUGUCAGUGUUGAGUUCUAAUGCUGUGGUUAGUAAGUUUCAGAUUGACCAGUGGUGUGCACAGCACAGUGGAAAAGACGAUGAAAAAGCGCUGCUCCACCUCCACAAAGGAAGAAAGUACUAUGCAAAUUGCAAGGAAGAGAAGGGCAACGGUUGAACAAAAGGAUUAUUACACAGCAGAAGUAAUUUAUGUCUUUGCUCAUCUGGUGAGGGAGAUCAAUCUUACCUGUUCACUUGUUUCCAGUACUGCUGUAUCACGGUGAGGGGGACGCGCCUGUCCAGUAAAUGACCGCAUUCGAACAUCACGAAGACUUCAACCUGAAGUAUGUUGCAUUGGUUAGGGAA